Molecule: ribosomal RNA, 426 nt
Filed under: uncultured bacterium
Lineage: Bacteria
Description: partial 16S ribosomal RNA
Rfam family: Bacterial small subunit ribosomal RNA
Source: RNAcentral
GUGAGGAAUUUUCCGCAAUGGGCGAAAGCCUGACGGAGCAAUGCCGCGUGAAGGAUGAAGGCCUAUGGGUUGUAAACUUCUUUUCUUAGAGAAGAAUAUUGACGGUAUCUGAGGAAUAAGCAUCGGCUAACUCUGUGCCAGCAGCCGCGGUAAGACAGAGGAUGCAAGCGUUAUCCGGAAUGAUUGGGCGUAAAGCGUCUGUAGGUGGCUUCAAAAGUCUCCUGUCAAAUAUCAGGGCUUAACCCUGGGCCGGCAGGAGAAACUCUGAGGCUAGAGUUUGGUAGGGGCAGAGGGAAUGCCCGGUGGAGCGGUGAAAUGCGUAGAGAUCGGGAGGAACACCAAAGGCGAAAGCACUCUGCUGGGCCACAACUGACACUGAGAGACGAAAGCGAGGGGAGCAAAAGGGAUUAGAAACCCUUGUAGUCC